CAGGAAUGCUUCAUUUGUCUCUGUCAAAGGUCAGGAUGUGGUGUGCAGCCUCCCCUCACUCCCCUGGAGGUCGGAUGGGGAUGUGGGAGGCCGACUGACUGGCCUUGGCCUUCUCUGGUGCCCCUGGGCUGGGCAGAAUGAAGCAUACCCCACCAUGCACAUAGAGAUCCAUCUUCACACUCAAGCGUGCCCCCCCCUCAAGGCACGGGUACCCAUGCACAUUCCUUGGCACGUGUGCACAGGCUCAGCCGCACGUACAUGUUCACAGGGACAUGAGCACAGGCACAGGUACCUCCAAACAUAGGCAGAGGUCCCAUCCCCAGGCACGUGCUCACUCAUAUCUUCAUGUGAACGUAUACAUGUUGGGCCAGAUGCGGUGGCACAUGCUUGUAAUCCCAGUGGCUCAGGAGGCUGAGGCAGGAGGAUGGCAAGUUCAAAGCCAGCCUCAGCAAAAACAAGGUGCUAAGCAACUCAGUCAGACCCUGUCUCUAGAAAAAAUUACAAAAAAGGGGUUAGGGAUUGGCUCAGUGGUUGGGUGCCCGAGUUCAAUCCCCAGUAUCCACACACACAUUAAAAAAAUACAUUUUCAUCCAUACACUGUGACACACUCCAUGGACACUCACGGGGACAUUCAUGGAAGGCUGUUAGCUACUGCUCCAUUCUCAUGUAUGGGAGUAUACAGAAGGAGCUCAUCCAAAGCCACUGACUAUAGAGAUCCUAGUUGGGGGGCAUGGAAGAAGAUCCCCUGCCCCCAAGGGAGGUCUCUCCCAUGCCUUUUGGAAACCAUCAGCCUCCUGGGGCCCAGGAGACCCCAGGCCUUGCAAAGGGGAGAGUUUCAAUAGGCAAGCCUGGUGGUCACUACAGGAGGCAGGACUGUCCUCAUAGGAAAUCGAGAUGGGAGGCCAAGUUUGAUGGAAGACAUGUUACAAGGGAGAGUUUUCUGGCACAGCCAGGGUGUGGAAGCCAAAGGACACAAAAGGGUCUUUUUGCAGCAGGAGCCAUGGGAGAUUUAGGUGUAGGAGAGUGUCCUUUGGGAAGCUUGAGUGUCUGCCAAACGUUGGCUAAGGGAGCCCAGAGAGGGAACAAAGAGGAUCAGGAGAGCUUCACGUUUACCAUGGGCUUAAGAAGAUAGAGCAUAGGUGUCCCAACAAGGAAGGACAGGAAGAGUGACCCCAGCUGAACCUGGCAGCUGCGGAGUGGGGGUGAGGGUGGGGUGUGUUACUCAUCCGUGUACCCCACAGAGCCAAGCACAGGUUGUCCUGGGGAGCUGAACACAGACAGCGUCUGCAUCAGAAUGGAGGAGUCCAAGUAGCUAUGACAAAGUCCCCUGGGAGAUGCAAAAAAGAAGCCAUGAAUGGUGCCUGAUGAUAUCCUCGGUCCUGCUGGCCUGACCCCAAGGAGAACAGGACCUAUCCAGGAAGACACGGGGGCUUCCAAGUGCUGCUGGUUGGUCUGCCAGAGGGACCCACUCAGGUCCUGGUGGCCCCAGACAUUUGUUCCCCCACUGGGGUAGAGAACAGGUGGAAGUAUGUUCACCUGGCCCUGAUCCUUUGACCUGCCCCAUCUCUGGGAACCCUCCAUUAAGAACAUUCCAGCCACCCUGGCCCCGUGAGCCUGUUGAGGUGGAGUAACCCAGGGCUCCAGCCCCCAGCUCUUCAGAGCGGGAAACACCACAUCCCAGCUGUCUGUCCCAAAUCCACCUGGAGGCCAGCCAGCUUGGCCGAAGCCCAACUUAGUUAGUGUCUCCAGACCCAGGAGACACUGCCGGGAAGAGGCAAGGACUGGAAGGAGGCCGCCGGGCCAGAGACGGGCCCCUUUCUGGGGCCUGCCCCAUAGGGUUCCUCCUGGCACACCCGUGGGCUUGCCCAUUGCCACACAUUUCUGGGCCCCUGGCUCCCUGGGUCAUGGGCUCCAGGCCUUUCUGGGCAGUCCUAAAGAGAUGCUGGUUACUAUGACAGCUGGGGAUUGGACCCCACCCUGAUUGCAAGAGGCCUGCAGGCCUGGCCAGAGCCCCACUUAUUCAGAAGGGAAGGAAUCUGGUUGGGAACCAGGAGCCCUGCCUUGCAGACUUGAACUACAGAGACCCUCAUUCUGAGAGCAGCUCCUUCCGUCCUUCUGCCCUCCCACCCUCUUCAGCCAGCAGCUGUAUCAGCAGCAGCAGCUGCUGCAACCCAAGGGCCAACCCAAGGCUACCACUAGGCAGUGGAAGGAGGGACGAAGCUGAGGUGGUGGGGACCAGGACUGCUCCAUCCUCCCUAGUUCUGGGGAGCAGGCCCCUAUCAUCCUCCAGACACCAACCCCACUGCCCCCAGCCCUGGGCAGUCUCCUCCCUCCAUCUCAACUUUAUCCUCCACCCACUCAGCUCCCAGUUGAAAGACACUUUUUAGUUGCCCGUGGCAACUGGGUGCCACAAUGAGAGGCACCAAUGUGGCAGGAUGCAUGCCACAUUCCAUGCAAAUGUCCUCUUUGGCCCCUUUUACCUCCCAGAAAUAAGGGCAGGUGAAACCCAGAGUCAGAGUGGCCGAGAGCUGGAUGGAGAUGUCCAUCUGAGAGACUGUCCCCAAGGAUACCUGGUCAGAGGGAAGGGGGCAGUAGAGGAUGUAAGGCAGAGGCCCAGGAUCAAGGGCUCCUGCUGAGCAGCACAGACAAGGGGCAACUUGGGUACUUCUGUGGGGACCAAGACUGAGAAAAUCUAAUGAGGACAGUAGGUCCUUUCCCCUGAUGCUCAGGAAGGGUCACCUGAUAGAGAUGGGAAGAGUUAAGGGUACGAGCUUUGGAAGAGCACAAAAGGGUCUUUUGUGUCCUGAGAUUGCCCCUCACAGGCUGUGGGAUCUAGAGCAAGUGCCUUCACUUCUCUGGGCCUCACUUUCUUCUUGUGGAAAAUGGAGCUACUAUUGUACUUCUCGAGAGACUUAGAUCAAUCAGCAUGUGUGAGGUAUUCAGCCAGAGGUCCAGGUAUCUCUAGGUUGCCAACUCUAGGUUGGCCAUUAUCCCUGUUAUUUUCUGAGCUUUGAUGUCCUUGUCUGUCACAGGGAUAUAAUAAUAUAUGGAGCACCAUUGGCCAUGGGAUUGUGUGGAAUGAAGCUCACAAGGUGGGACACUUGGGAGAUGUCAGAGCAGGGUCCUGCUCCAAGCCUGUUUGCCCGCCCCAUGCCCAGCCCUACUCCUUGUUCUGUAGCAGAGGCAUCAGGGCCGGCCUCGUGCCCAGUCAGGCAACAGGUGGCAAGGCCGGCGGGUGCAGGUGCAGCCUUGCAGGGGAUGCAGGGGGUGGUCCCUCCUGUUUCCUCCCCACGUUGUUUCCCCAGCUGCUGGCUGGGCAGGCCGUGCCUGAGAGGAAGGCCACGCAGAGGGAAGCAGCAAACACAGCCACGUGCAUUCGGGGGGCUGAGUAAGCACCCCACUUCCUGCUACCAUCGUCAGCAGCUUUUGCGACUAUGGCCAGUGGAUGGCUCACAAUGCUCGCUGGGGCGGGAGCUCAGAGACCGGGCAGGGUCACUUCCCUGAAUUGUCCUUGCUGCCAGCUCCCCACAGCACACCUGGCCGGCCUGCCUGCUGCCCUGGGGAGCCACGGGGUGCCCUGCCCAGCCUGCAAGCACCAUCCUGGGUGGCAGCCGGCACCCAGGCCCACCAGGCCAGGAGGCGGGGCCUUGGCUGGGCACUGGUUCUGGGGUCUGGACUCAGUCUGAGUCUUGGCCCAAGCUCACUGGACCUCAGCCAGGCAUCAGGGUGAGCAUCCAUCUUGUGCAGGACUUGUACCAGGGCUGGGCUCAGGCCACCCUCUCUGCAGCCCUCCCUGGCAACGUGUCUCACUGUCUUGGUGGGCUUGGAGUACCCAAGACUCCGGCAGAUACACGCCAGUGGCCAAUAGUUGGAGACAUUAUCAACUGGACGACUCCAGGAAGUGUGUCCAGAGACGACUCUCACAGCUCGGAUGGGUAAAGAUGUCUACAGGGGACUGCUGGGGUCCUGGGAUAGCAUCACUGUUUUUGUUUUUGAGGUGCUGGGGAUGGCACCCAGGGCCUCCUGCAUGCCAGCAAGCACUCUACCACUGAGCACACCCCCCGCCCUCUCAUUUUCAGACAUUUCAGGAAGGGUACAAACUGGAACAAACUUUUUUGCAGGGCAAUUUGACAAUGUACAUCAAAACCCUUUGAACCAAGAAAUUAUAUUUCUAAGAAUUGAAGGGACAUGAGCAAUGAAUAUGUAUAAAGAUGCUCAUCCCUGCAUUGUUUGUAAUGGAGAUAACAUUGGAUAUAACCCAGAUGCCCGAUUAUGGCUGGGUUUGAAAAGAAAAAUUUAGCCACAUGGUGGUAAAUAUUUCCUAGGUGUAUAAGUAUUAAAUAUGAUGCCAAAAGUGGCGCUCUCAACCUUGAACAUGCACAAGAAUUCCCCAGGGGUCUUGCUAAUAUGCGGGUUCUGAUUCACCAGGUGUGGGAUGGAACCUAAAAGUCUGCGUUUCUAAUGGUCUCCCAGGUGAUGCCUGUGCUUUGAUCCCUGGACCAUACUUUGCACAGCAAAGCUGUAGAAUUUUCACUAGUAACUUGAAAAAGCAUCCCCAAACUACGAUAAAAUGAAGAAAAGCAUGCUACAAAAUAAUAGGAUUUUUUUUUUUUAAUGAUCUUGGAGAUUGAAUCCAGGGGUGCUAAGCCACAUCCCUUGCCCUUUUUAUAUUUGCUUUUGAGACAGAGAUUUGCUAAGUGGCCUAGGGUCUUGCAAAGUUUACUGAGGCUGGCUUUGAACUUGGGCUCCUCUUGCAUCAGCCUCCCAGGUUGCUGGGAUUAUAGGCAUGAGUCACUGCCUGACUCCUUUUUGAAUGUCCUCCCCCUGGGAACCCAUUGGGACCAACAGGGUGGUAGCAGAGAGAAUCAGAAAGACACCCAGGGGAAGGUGGACCGGUUGUGAAGAUGGAGAUGGCACUCCCAGGCUUGCUCAUGCAGAGGUGCCAACCUCCCAGGGUCCAGCUUUUGUUACAACGGAGAAUAUGUUCCUUACCACGUGGACACUGUGCUCUCCUACUUGAGGAGGCAGUGACUCCAGAGAAGGUGCUCAAGCUUCUGCUCAGGAUUGGAUGGGGCCCGAUGGAUGAUUUGGGUAGUCCCUGUAAUCUUCAACGAGUGCUGAGAUUUUGCAGCCAUAAUAGAAAUAAUGUUUUGUGUGCUUCACGGGGCUGAGAGCUUCAAAUGCUUAGAAAAUCUCUGCAAAUUCUGAAGGCCUAGGCCAAAGCUGAGAAGCCUGCCUUUCCCUUUUGUUCUUCUUCAGAGACAAAAUGGCACAACCCUUCCAUGUUGCCCUCCAUGGCUUGCCAGAUAUGAUUCUGUUCCCCCAGACGUCACACAGGCCAGACCUGUGGCCUUGGAAUGUUCAUUUUUCAAUGCACUGGUUAAUCCAUAAGAUGUUUUUGGGUGUUGCUAUGGAGUGGUCCCUGGUGUAACCGUGUUGAGCGGGCCCUUUAUGAGGUGUUCAGGACCUGGGAGUCCAGGAAAGGCAUGAAUGACAUUCCCGUGAGUUGGUUCUCAGGGGAGUGAGUGAAUUUUUGCUCUCUGGGGGCUGGAUCAGUGACUGGGAGAGGUGGUUGUUAGGAAGUGAGGCACCCCUCAUGUUUUUGCUUGCCCCUCUGCUUUCCCACCAGGAAAAGGCCCUUACCAGAAGCCAAGCAGAAGCCCGGGCCAUGCUCCUCGAGUUCCUGGCAUCCUAAACCGUGAGCCCAAAUGCGUUUCUCUCCUUUAUACAUCACCCGGUCUCAGGUACUCCAGGAUGUCAACAGAAAGCAAGCUGACACAGGAGCAUUGGAGAUAAUUUUACUCGAACGCAGACACAGACUUUAAUGGCACUGGACCAUGGAGUGUGAAAACUGUCCCUUCUCAAUCCUCUCUUGAACUUUCCAAAGAGUGGAGGAGAAAGCCUCAGAGAGGGGCCAGCCUGUCUCUAAUGCCUCACAAGCACUUGCUAAGUUUGCUUUUUAACAAAAAGAGAGCAGACCUCAGGCCCAAAGUCCUCACUGGCAACAUUCAACUAUAAUUUCAUUUAUUUGUAUGAGUUACCUUUCUAUUUAAGGUAGUGAUAUAAAGUUUCCUUUAAAAAUAUUUUUUAAGUUUUUUUUAAAAACAGCUUAAAUUCAACAAACAAAUAUAGAGUAGGUGGUUUUUGGAUGUGGCA
Molecule: long non-coding RNA, 6156 nt
Filed under: Marmota monax (woodchuck)
Lineage: Eukaryota; Metazoa; Chordata; Mammalia; Rodentia; Sciuridae
Source: RNAcentral